Molecule: ribosomal RNA, 386 nt
Filed under: uncultured bacterium
Lineage: Bacteria
Description: bacterial SSU rRNA
Rfam family: Bacterial small subunit ribosomal RNA
Source: RNAcentral
AUUGAACGCUGGCGGAAUGCUUUACACAUGCAAGUCGGGCGGCAGCGCGGGGGCAACCCUGGCGGCGAGCGGCGAACGGGUGAGUAAUACAUCGGAACGUGUCCUUGAGUGGGGGAUAGCUCGGCGAAAGCCGGAUUAAUACCGCAUAAGCUCUGAGGAGGAAAGCGGGGGACUGGUAACGGCCUCGCGCUGUUGGAGCGGCCGAUGUCGGAUUAGCUAGUUGGUGGGGUAAAGGCCCACCAAGGCGACGAUCCGUAGCUGGUCUGAGAGGAUGAUCAGCCACACUGGAACUGAGACACGGUCCAGACUCCUACGGGAGGCAGCAGUGGGGAAUUUUGGACAAUGGGGGCAACCCUGAUCCAGCCAUUCCGCGUGAGUGAAGAAGG